This 496-nucleotide ribosomal RNA is filed under the name marine sediment bacterium ISA-1167. Its description in RNAcentral is "bacterial SSU rRNA". It matches the Rfam family "Bacterial small subunit ribosomal RNA", at positions 39 to 526 of the family's 1533-position model. The record is from RNAcentral.
GCGGCAGGCUUAACACAUGCAAGUCGAGGGGUAACAGGAAAUAGCUUGCUAUUUUGCUGACGACCGGCGCACGGGUGCGUAACGCGUAUAGAACCUACCUUUUACAGGGGAAUAGCCCAGAGAAAUUUGGAUUAAUGCCCCAUAGUAUUAUUGAAUGGCAUCAUUUAAUAAUUAAACAUUUAUGGGUAAAAGAUGGCUAUGCGUUCUAUUAGCUAGAUGGUAAGGUAACGGCUUACCAUGGCAACGAUAGAUAGGGGUCCUGAGAGGGAGAUCCCCCACACUGGUACUGAGACACGGACCAGACUCCUACGGGAGGCAGCAGUGAGGAAUAUUGGACAAUGGAGGCAACUCUGAUCCAGCCAUGCCGCGUGCAGGAAGACGGCCCUAUGGGUUGUAAACUGCUUUUAUAUAGGAAGAAACCUUUCCACGUGUGGAGAGCUGACGGUACUAUAAGAAUAAGCACCGGCUAACUCCGUGCCAGCAGCCGCGGUAAUAC